Molecule: long non-coding RNA, 1530 nt
Organism: Helianthus annuus (common sunflower)
Lineage: Eukaryota; Viridiplantae; Streptophyta; Magnoliopsida; Asterales; Asteraceae
Exons: 3
Source: RefSeq, a predicted model, not a curated record
AUCCGUGUCAUUCAAAAACCCUAAUUCUAUCAAACACAAAAACUCUCAUCUAGGUAUCUUUAUCAUCUUCAACAUGCUUUCAGAUCUUGAAGAUCCAUCCAAUUCUCCUUUUCCUUCGUUCAUCCCUUUUCAUUAUCAUCGAUUUUCUUUUGUCUUCCCCUUUCAUAAUCCUCUGUAAACCCUAGAGGAGUCUACACCAGUUCUUCGAGGUUACUGAUUCAAUCUGAUGGAAUGAUGGAUCUUUAUUUAGGCAUUUGGAGAGAGGGAAAUGGUCGAUAUAUGGCAAUAAGAGAGAGGGAGUGAGUGUUAGAGAUAGAGACGGUGGUGGCUGUUGUUGCGACACCACUCGCCACCGGCGACGAGGAUGACCAUCGGUGGUCAAGGGUUUAGAAUAGCGGUCUCGCUUAUGACCACAGUGGCCUCCGGCAAGCGUUACAUAGUCGAUUGGCUCCCGCUUCGUUUUUACCCAACAUGUGUCGAUUUCUUCAUCUCGAAGGGUUUUUAGAAUCCUCCAAUUGAUUUGAUGUUGAAUGUUCAUUUGUAAGGUAGAUGGAUCCAAGUUUUGCCACGGUUUUAGUCUACCUAAAAUCCUUUUAUUUGGUGAGUUUUCAAGGUACAUCAUUAGCUUUCUUGAUGUCCUUAUAUGCUUUUGAGGUUAAAAAGUGGGGUUUAGACAUCCUAAACUGUGAUCUCAAAGUUAUAUGGUAUUUAGACAUUCAUUUUUGUUGUUUUACACGAAGAAUCAAGCUCAAUCUUCUUUCGAUCUGGUAGGUUUUCAACUUGAUUUAUGUUGGUUUUUUAUUCAGCUGUGUGGUUGAAGUUGCGUAGGUGAUAUAUGUUGCCCUAAAAGUCGAUAACUUUAUUUGACAAUUACUGAUUAUCCCUUAUUUUGUAACAAUGAUUUCUUGCAUAGUCUGGAUGCUAUAUUAUAUGUUGGUGGAAUCAUAGAGGACCACUGAGAAUCUACCACAAAGUUUGCAAUUAUGGUUGGUGCAUAAGUUAAUACAACAGGUAAAUGAUUUUGUUAAAUGACUUCAAGAAACUAUUGGUUUUUUUCCAUACUUAUAGCCUUAUUUUUCGGUAUUAUAAAUUUGUUAGUGUAACUUUUGAUGCUUGCUCCGUAGCCUUGCAACGGAGACGAAAGAUUGUUUAUAUGUCAAUCCGUAUGCCUUAUUACACUUUUUACCAAAAAAUUUCUUUUACGGGAACUUAAACCUUACCGUAUAUAUUAUUAUUUUUGUAUAGAAGUUAUGAAAUGGGUAGUAAAAGAACGUCAAGUCUAUGUAUAAUAGAUUUGGGUGUAUGUAUAUCUAGCAAAAUAAGUGGGGUAACGGGUUAAAAUGGGUUCGAGGUUUGGGUCAAACCUAUACGAAACUUGAUUUCCGAUCAAUUUGAAUAUUAUCUUCAUCGAUUUUGAACUAUAUGCUUUCCGAUGUGUAUGGAAACUUGAUUUCCGGUUGAUUUGAAUAUUGCUAACCACUUAUUGUUUUGUUAUUAAUUACAUGUUAAGUUUCAUCGAUCGUUGUCGCC